Molecule: microRNA precursor, 96 nt
Filed under: Pteropus alecto (black flying fox)
Lineage: Eukaryota; Metazoa; Chordata; Mammalia; Chiroptera; Pteropodidae
Description: mir-544 microRNA precursor family
Rfam family: mir-544 microRNA precursor family
Source: Rfam by way of RNAcentral
GUCCUGGGAAACUUGUUAAAAUGCAGACUCAGUUUCAGGAAGUCUCGGGUGGGGCCUGUGGUUCUGCAUUUGUAACAAGCCCCCAGGUGAUGCUGA